This 423-nucleotide ribosomal RNA is filed under the name uncultured bacterium. RNAcentral's name for it is "bacterial SSU rRNA". It matches the Rfam family "Bacterial small subunit ribosomal RNA", at positions 355 to 775 of the family's 1533-position model. The record is from RNAcentral.
UGAGGAAUAUUGGUCAAUGGGCGCAAGCCUGAACCAGCCAUCCCGCGUGCAGGAAGACGGCCCUAUGGGUUGUAAACUGCUUUUCCAGGGGGAGAAUUUUUCUGUCGUGACAGGAAUUGACGGUACCCUGGGAAUAAGCAUCGGCUAACUCCGUGCCAGCAGCUGCGGUAAUACGGAGGAUGCGAGCGUUAUCUGGAUUUAUUGGGUUUAAAGGGUGCGUAGGCGGAUUGAUAAGUCAGUGGUGAAAACCUGCAGCUUAACUGUAGACUUGCCGUUGAUACUGUCAGUCUUGAGUGUGGUCAAGGUAGGCGGAAUGUGUAAUGUAGCGGUGAAAUGCUUAGAUAUUACACAGAACACCGAUUGCGAAGGCAGCUUACUGGGCCAUUACUGACGCUGAGGCACGAAAGCGUGGGGAUCGAACAG